RNAcentral lists this long non-coding RNA (213 nucleotides) under Ricinus communis (castor bean). Its description in RNAcentral is "long non-coding RNA (RCOM_LNC000245)". Lineage: Eukaryota; Viridiplantae; Streptophyta; Magnoliopsida; Malpighiales; Euphorbiaceae. The record is from RNAcentral.
AUGAAAGUUGCUCUUGCUCUCUCUCUCUAAUUUUUUGUUAUAAUGGCCCAAUAUUGGACAUAGAAAUAGUGGGUGUCUGUCCAUUUCAAAUAGAACAGUUGCAUUAGCUCAUGAAGCCCAUCUGUGCAUACUCUGGGCCUGUCCCAGUUUUGGCUACUGCUGUUCGGAAUAUUGAUCAUCUAAUUACUUAUUUACUUGAAAGCUCUUCCUCAU